RNAcentral lists this ribosomal RNA (2179 nucleotides) under Acanthaspidia rostratus. Its description in RNAcentral is "SSU rRNA". It matches the Rfam family "Eukaryotic small subunit ribosomal RNA". Lineage: Eukaryota; Metazoa; Arthropoda; Malacostraca; Isopoda; Acanthaspidiidae. The record is from RNAcentral.
CAUAUGCUUGUCUCAAAGAUUAAGCCAUGCAUGUCUGAGUACAGACCGAUCUAAGGUGAAACCGCGAAUGGCUCAUUAAAUCAGUCAUAAUUCCUUGGAUAGUGAAAAAACUUCCUCGGAUAACUGAGGAAAAUCCAGAGCUAAUACGUGCAACUGAGCUCAGACCUUGACGUGAGUUGAGGGAAGAGCGCAUUUAUUAGAUUCAAAACUGACCGGUGUACUCUUUCGGGAUGCGCCGCAUGUCAUAACUUGAUGACUCCGGAUAACUUAGCCGAGCGCUACGGUCUUGGUACCGGCGCCGUAUCUUUCAAGUGUCUGCCUUAUCAGCUUUCGAUUGUAGGUUAAACGCCUACAAUGGCUGUAACGGGUAACGGGGAAUCAGGGUUCGAUUCCGGAGAGGGAGCCUGAGAAACGGCUACCACAUCUAAGGAAGGCAGCAGGCACGCAAAUUACCCACUCCCAGCUCGGGGAGGUAGUGACGAAAAAUAACGAUGUGAGACUCUUCCGAGGCCUCACAAUCGGAAUGAGUCCAUUCUAAACAUUUGGACGAGGAUCCAUUGGAGGGCAAGUCUGGUGCCAGCAGCCGCGGUAAUUCCAGCUCCAAUAGCGUAUAUUAAAGUUGCUGCGGUUAAAAAGCUCGUAGUUGGAUCUACUAGAUCCAAUGCGUGGGCGGGUCGCUCGUUGUACGCGCGUUCUAUGCGGUCCCUCGGGGUCUUUCCUUUGAGCUCUUCAUCUGUGUCGGGUGAGUGUAGUGUUUCAUGGUGUCGUUGUGGUUGUCGCUCGCGCGGCGCACCUCGGCGCUCGUUCGCUAGUAUCUCUCUUUGGCAUUUUGAGGAUGUCUCGUCGGUUUGUGUCUCCCGUGUGGGCGGUAGAGCGUAGUCUCUGAGUAUAGCUCGUCCGCGUUUGGUACGAAUACAAAUUUGUCGGCUCGCUCGGAGUGCUCUUUACCGAGUGUUCCAGGGUGGCCGACACGUUCACUUUGAAAAAAUUAGAGUGCUUAAAGCGGGCCGAAAUGUCGCCUGAAUGUUGUUGCAUGGAAUGAAGGAACAGGACCUCGGUUCUGUUCUUUUUGUCGGUUUUAAUGAACCGAGGUAAUGAUUAAAAGGAACAGACGGUGGCAUUAGUAUUGAGUCGCUAGAGGUGAAAUUCUUGGACCGACUCAAGACUGACUACUGCGAAAGCAUUUGCCGAGAAUGUUUCAUUAAUCAAGAACGAAAGUUAGAGGAUCGAAGGCGAUCAGAUACCGCCCUAGUUCUAACCCUAAACUAUGCUAACUAGCGAUCCGUCGGAGUCAUUCCCACGACCCGGCGGGAAGCCCCAGGGAACCAAAGUCUUUGAGUUCCGGGGGAAGUAUGGUUGCAAAGCUGAAACUUAAAGGAAUUGACGGAAGGGCACCACCAGGAGUGGAGCCUGCGGCUUAAUUUGACUCAACACGGGAAACCUCACCAGGCCCGGACAUCAGAAGGAUUGACAGAUUGAGAGCUCUUUCUCGAUUCGAUGGGUGGUGGUGCAUGGCCGUUCUUAGUUGGUGGAGUGAUCUGUCUGGUUGAUUCCGAUAACGAACGAGACUCUACCCUACUAACUAGUCGACGGAUCGUAACCCUGAGAUGGGUGGAACAGAAGGCGUUCGUAUUGAGGUGCAACUGCCGCGAAAAUAGCUUUUGCACGCGGUCUUGAGUGUUUGAGCUCUCGAUUCGUGUUGCUGGGUUACAUCGUUGGUAUGUGGUACUGAUUUGCGUUUCGUCCAAGUUUCGCUUACUGGGGGCGUCCGUCGCAAUGUAUCUUCUUAGAGGGAUCAGCGGCGUCUAGCCGCACGAGAAAGAGCAAUAACAGGUCUGUGAUGCCCUUAGAUGUUCUGGGCCGCACGCGCGCUACAAUGUAGGGCUCAGCGUGCCUUCCCUCUCCGAAAGGAGCGGGUAACCCGUUGAAAUCCCUACCCGAUUGGGAUUGGGGAUUGCAAAUGUUUCCCAUAAACGAGGAAUUCCCAGUAAGCGCGAGUCAUUAGCUCGCGCUGAUUACGUCCCUGCCCUUUGUACACACCGCCCGUCGCUACUACCGAUUGAAUGAUUCAGUGAGGGCAUCGGACUGGCGCUUCGGUUGCAACAUACCUUAGGCUGACGGAAAGAUGUCCGAACUUGAUCAUUUAGAGGAAGUAAAAGUCGUAACAAGGUUUCCGUAG